AUGCAGGGCUUGGACGGUGCAAAGGGAGAAAAAGGUGACAGUGGUGAGAAGGGGGACCACGGCGACCCUGGACCUGCUGUGAGUCGUUUCCUGUGUCUCAUUUCUGGCCAUCGCCAGAAAACCUGCCUUACAGCAACCAUCCCAACACCUUGUUCCUUUUUUCCUGAAGGGUCUCCCUGGUGCUCCUGGGCUCAUCGGUUUACCCGGCACCAAAGGAGAGAAGGGAAAGCCGGGGGAGCCAGGAUUGGAUGGUUUCCCAGGUCUCAGAGGAGAGAAAGGAGAGAGAAGCGAAAGGGGCGAGAAGGGCGAGCGAGGAAUACCAGGGAGAAAAGGAGCCAAAGGGCAGAAGGGGGAACCGGGCCCUCCUGGACUGGAUCAGCCUUGUCCCGUGGGACCAGACGGACUGCCAGUAGCAGGAUGUUGGCAUAAGUGAUGUCUAAGCAUGAAGCACAAUGUGUAAAUAAUGUGAUAUAUUUGGAUCUUUUUAAUUUUUGUAUAAAAAAAGGAAAAAAAAAAACUUUCAACAGUAAUAUAUUGACCUUUUUUUAUACUGGAUUCUGUCAUUUAUGGACUUUGAAAAUAUUGUAAAGCUCCCAAACCCGUAAGAUACGCAUGGUAACAUCAGGAUUUGAUAAAGGUACCACUGAGAGCAGCUGGGAAUGAACAGUAUUUGCUGCUGCUGUUGCUGUGUGAACGAACAGCACUGGGACAGGGUGUUGCCUGGUUGUGCCGCGUGGCAUGAAGGAGGGAGAAAUCAAUCCCCAUCCCCGUUUGGCUCUCACCUCUGUACUUGCAUUGCACGUGCACGUUAAAAGGGUGAAAAAACCUGGCCGAAAACAAAGAAGAAAAAAAGGCUGCAGCCCUAGGAAGGAGAGAAGCUGCUGUGUAACAUCUGGGCAAACAGCAGAAGGACUUGCAACUCGCAGAGGGAAACAAAGCCAAGCUCCGUUCAUCGCUCCCUGCUGUUGAUGGGAUGGAAAGAGCAAUUCUUUGGCGAAACAGAACACCCUCGAGGACUACCUGUGGUUACUUCCACUACUAUCAUGAAAAGCUUUUUUAUUUUUAUUUUUCUUCCCAAGAGGAAGCACCUCUGGGUCCUGCUCUGGGGUCUGUGGCUGAAGAUGUGCAAGCGCUUUGUUGCUGUGGAACCCAAAUUCCCCAAGAAACCUCCACUGCAAAAUUUGAAACACAAAAACCCUAGUAAAUAUUUUCCGUGUAGAGCUGCCGGACAGGGAGGGCUCUGCUGAAGCCUUCUCUUAAACAAAAAAGCACACAAUGUUGCUGGUUGGGGUUCCCAAACCUUGGGAGUUUGGAGUAUUUAAUUGUCUUGGUUUGUAGGCUUCAUUUGCGUUUGAUUUUUCUUGGUUUACGUGGGUUUUAACUGUAAACUCUGUAACUCUGCACACUCCUCUUGUCCUCUUCCUUCUCUU
RNAcentral lists this long non-coding RNA (1430 nucleotides) under Calidris pugnax (ruff). RNAcentral's name for it is "lncRNA (ENSCPUG00000003615.1)". The record is from RNAcentral. Lineage: Eukaryota; Metazoa; Chordata; Aves; Charadriiformes; Scolopacidae.